RNAcentral lists this long non-coding RNA (6513 nucleotides) under Carica papaya (papaya). RNAcentral's name for it is "long non-coding RNA (CPAP_LNC003475)". The record is from RNAcentral. Lineage: Eukaryota; Viridiplantae; Streptophyta; Magnoliopsida; Brassicales; Caricaceae.
AUUCCUUAUUUAAUCAUUUCAGAUCAGGAAGACCUUGUUCCCGAGCCAGUUCUGCAAGAGGACGACGAAGGGGACGCCUAAAGACUCCAUAGCCAUAUUUGUAGCUUUUACUUUCAAGUUUCUCCUUUAGGUAGUUUAAUCUUUUAUAUUGUGAGCACGUUUUUUGUUUUAGUGUAAGGGAUGUUAAUCGAAUUUUUGACUUCGCUUCCGCAUUUGAUAUUUUUAAUAUACAUUCCAUUAUGAAUUUCCGGGGCUGUUACAGUUGGUAUCAGAGCCGCAUUUCCUCGAACCCAUCCCUUACACAAUAGUGCCUUAGAGAGAUACUCAUCGAUAUAUCGUUACUCAAUCAUUCCUUGUGAAUGCAGGUACACGGGAAUGAGGAGAGGAAGGCCCCCACUAAACCGAGCGGCCCCAGAUAAUUCACUUCGGGAGGAUUUAGAUAGACUAUUCGAGAUGGUGGAGGCUCUCGCAGCUGCCCAGCGAAGGCAAGAGGAGAGAAGGGAGUUACCGGGACCUCCUCCGCUAGCACAGGUUGAGCCCCCGCUACAGCAGGCUGAUCCCGGGCCACCCUGCCUGCACCAGUUACUUGGGAGCAGUUCCUAGCGGCCUGCCAUGCGGAGUAUCUCCCUAAACACAUCCAACAUCUAAAGGAAAUGGAAUUUGCUCAAUUGGAGCUGGGCCGACAUGCCCCGGAGACAUUGUUGGAUGAGGGCUGGAAGGCCAGGAAAUUCCAGUGGGGUCUCCGCCCGGAGAUCAGACAGCACUUACUGGUGAUGGAGCUCGAGACAUAUUCGGCAGUCCUGGCAAAGACGCAGAUCAUAGAAAGGAGUUUCGACACCCGCCCUCAGCUAACGGGAAGUUUUCGACCCUCAGCCCCACUCCGCAGGCCAGCGCCUACCAUGCCUGUCCAACCCAGUAAAAGGCCCAGACCCGCCGUCCAGGCCCCUCCUCAGGCUACGGGGGCAGCACGUGGGAAGAUCUGCCAGUACUGCGGCAGGGAUCAUGGGGACCGACCCUGCUACCGCCUCAACAACACCUGUCGCAUAUGCGGCAGUGCCCAGCAUUAUGCAAGGGAGUGCCCUAGGAACCAGAAUCAAGGGAGGCCUCCAAUCUAGGACAGAGUUUACAACCUUACCCAGAAGGAUACUGACGCAGACUCGGACGUGGUACAUGGUAUGUAUACUAUCUCUGGCCACAUUGCUCAUGUUUUGUUUGAUACUGGUGCAUCACAUUCUUUUAUUUCACAUGUUCUUGCUUCUAAAAUUUGUGUAUCACCUGAUAGACUUGAUUCAUUAUUGCUUGUAUCUACCGCUUGGGGGGAGACAUUGCUAGGAGAGGUUGUCUACAGGGCAUGUGCCGUGGAGAUAGCAGAUAGGAAAUUGAGGGUAGACCUGAUAGGUUUAGACACAGGGGAUUUUGAUGAAAUCCUAGGAAUGGAUUGGCUAGCGGCGUAUCACGCCACCAUAGACUGCUUUAACAAAAAGAUUGUAUUUAAUCCUCCCAAGGAGGAGCUAUUUACAAGUUAAUAAAAUUAUUCGGUACUGAUUUCCCCUAAUGGCAAAUUCUUUUCUUCUUAAUUCCCAGUGCCUUAAUCUUAUAUUUUCUCUAACUAGGUAAACCCAAAAAAGAAGUUUGUAUCCAAGAGAUUCCAGUAGUCCGAGACUUUCCAGACGUAUUUCUGGAUGAACUGCCCGGUCUACCAGGGGACAGAGAGGUCGAGUUCACCAUAGACUUACAGCCAGGAACCCAGCCCAUCUCGGUAGCUCCUUACCGAAUGAGCCGCAUCGAGAUGGAACAACUAAGGAAACAGAUCACUGAGCUACAAAAUAGUGGCUUCAUUAGACACAGUGUUUCCCCAUGGGGUGCCGGGGUUACUUUUGCAAAGAAAGGAGAUGGAACGUUGAGACUGUGCAUUGAUUACAGAAGGAUAAACAAGGUAACAAUUAAGAACAAAUACCCUCUUCCCCGGAUUGAUGACUUUUUCGAUCAGUUGCAGGGUGCACAGGUCUUUUCUAAAAUAGAUCUACGAUCAGGUUACCAUCAGGUAAAAGUGAGAGCAGAAGACAUCCCCAAGACGGCUUUCCGAACCAGGUACGGACACUAUGAGUUCCUGGUUAUGCCGUUUGGGCUAACCAACGCCCCGGCCAUCUUUAUGGAUCUAAUGAACAAGAUCUUCAGAGAAUUCUUGGACCAAUUUGUCAUCGUGUUCAUCGAUGAUAUCUUAGUCUACUCAAAAAGUAGGGAAGAACAUGCUCAUCAUCUUGCCCAAGUCCUACAGGUACUCAGGGAAAAGAAGUUGUAUGCGAAGUUGAGCAAGUGUGGAUUUUGGCUCGAGCAAACAGCCUUUCUAGGACAUGUUAUAUCGAAGGAAGGGGUGUCAGUGAACCCCGAAAAGGUUGAAGUGGUACUUGGUUGGGAAAGGCUGACAACAGUUAAGGAAAUUUGCAGUUUCCUAGGGAUGGCAGGUUAUUACCACCGGUUUGUCGAAGGGUUCUCUAGUCUAGCAGCUCCUCUAACCCGACUCACAAAGAAGAAUGCAAAUUUUGAAUGGAUUGAGAACUGCGAAAGGAGUUUUUCAGAGUUGAAGAAGCGACUGACUACUGCACCAGUGCUGGCUCUACCGAGUGGAUCAGGAGGGUACACAGUUUAUAGUGAUGCCUCCUAUCUGGGCCUAGGUUGUGCCCUAAUGCAGCAUGGAAAGGUUAUAGCAUAUGGGUCUAGACAGCUAAAGAAUCAUGAGAAGAACUAUCCUACCCAUGACUUGGAGUUUGCCGCAAUCAUACACGCCUUGAAAACCUGGCGCCAUUAUUUGUAUGGAGAGACCUUUCAGAUCUACACCGAUCAUAAGAGUUUGAAGCUCAUCUUCACUCAGAAGGAUCUCAACAUGCAUCAGAGAAGGUGGAUGGAACUCCUCAAGGACUAUGAUUGUGACAUCCUAUACCAUCCAGGUAAGGGCAACGUAGUGGCCGAUGCCCUCAGCAGGAAAAGUGCUGGCACCCUAGCCCAUAUGAUGGUUUCAGAGUGUAGAUCCAUUGGGGCUACACAGCAGGUUCGCCUGCGAGAUCUGAAGAGAGGCACAUGUUUGGGCCACCUAGCAGUCCAACCCGAGUUAAUCCAAAGAAUAAAGGAAGCCCAGUCAGUCGACCCCGCCCUAGUAACCCGCAAGAAGGAUGCAGAACAGGGAGUGAGCUCAGAAUUUCAGAUCUCUGCUGACGGAUUGAUUCGUUUCAAGGACAGAGUGUGUGUCCCAGACGACAGUGAGUUAAAAAGAGACAUCAUGACAGAGUCCCAUAGUUCAAGGUUCGCCAUACAUCCAGGAAGUACGAAAAUGUACCAAACUAUGCGACCUCGGUUCUGGUGGAAUGGGAUGAAGAGAGAUAUAGCCGACUUUGUAUCUAAGUGCUUGGUAUGUCAGCAGGUCAAAGCAGAACAUCAACGCCCGGGCGGGUUACUUUAGCCUUUACCGAUUCCAGAGUGGAAGUGGGAACACAUCACCAUGGACUUCGUAUCGGGACUACCCAAGGCACGAUCGGGACAUGAUGCUAUAUGGGUAAUUGUUGACCGACUCACUAAGUCUUCCCACUUCCUGGCCAUCAGAAUGACUGAUCCUUUGGACAAGUUAGCAAGAAUGUAUAUCUGGGAGGUAGUAAGACUGCAUAGAGUUCCAGUAACAGUAGUAUCCGACAGGGAUCCCAGAUUCACUUCUCGGUUUUGGAAUAGUUUCCAGCAAGCUAUGGGAACAAAGCUGUCUCUUAGUACUGCUUUCCACCCCCAAACCGAUGGACAAUCAGAGAGGACAAUUCGUAUACUGGAGGAUAUGCUCCGAGCUUGUGUCCUUGACUCCGGGGGCCAUUGGGACGACCACCUACCCCUGAUAGAGUUUGCUUACAACAACAGUUACCAAGCAAGCAUCGGCAUGGCCCCAUACGAGGCGCUAUACGGGCGUCCGUGCAGGUCAUCGAUCUGUUGGGAGGAAGUGGGCGAUAGAAGAUUGUUUGGCCCGGAUUUGGUAGAAGAAACCACGUCCAAGAUAGUUAAGAUCAAGAAGAACAUCCAGACAGCUCAGAGUAGGCAGAAGAGUUAUGCUGAUACCCGGAGGAGAGACCUGGCCUUUGAGAAAGGCGACCGGGUGUUUCUUAAAGUCACCCCCUUCAAGGGAAUUAGUAGGUUCGGCAGGAGGGGAAAAUUAAACCCCAGAUAUAUUGGACCCUUUGAAAUCUUAGACAAUAUUGGUACCACUGCCUACAAACUUGCACUGCCUCCUGAGCUCUCCCGGGUUCAUAAUGUGUUUCACGUAUCUAUGCUACGUAAGUACAAUCCGGACCCGUCUCAUGUCUUGGCUCAUGAACCGCUUCCACUCCGAGAGGACGUGUCUUAUGAAGAAGUACCGGUCGGUAUCAUGGACCGAGAGAGCAGAAUACUCCGCAACCGGGAAAUAUCAUUUGUAAAAGUCGUGUGGCAGAACCACACGCCCAGGGAGGCUACUUGGGAACUGGAAUCAGAAUUUAGGGCCCAAUAUCCCCAUCUGUUCGAUCAAGAGUAACGAGGCAAAUUUGGGGACCAAAUUUCUUUAAGGGGGGAGAGUUGUAGCGCCCGGGAAAUUGAAGGAAAAAAAAAAAAAAAAAAACGUGCGCACCACGUCAGCAGCCACGUCAGCAGACCCAGUCAGCAGUCUUGGCCACCGCGCCCCUCCUCGGUUUUUGCCUCCGAUGAGGCCCUUCCCGGCCUCCGUUUAAUGCAAUUUUUAUAUCACCGUGAUCACCAUUCUUUUCUCUACAGGUUGAUCGGAGCCGAAUCACCAAAACACGAACUUCACCGGAGAGCCACCGCACACGAGAGCACCGCCGCCGGUAAGCUUCGGUUUUCCGUAAAUUUUCGGUCCCCCGAGGGCCGUAGGGUUGUUUUAUCGCAGGAACCAAUGCGAGUGUGGCCGAAUUCGGCUGGAAACGGCUGAAAACGGCCAACCCGAGGCGAACCGCCGCCGCAAGCGGCGGCACCGUCGCCGGAGCACGGCGGAGCUGCCGUGCCGGAGUUGUGAUAUUGGCCGAAAGGGCCCCUGGGCCUAAUUUGGGAUUUUUUGGAAGACGUGCAGGUACCAGUAGUGCGUUUCAGUUCCCCAGGAAAAAUUCAGGAAAAAUUGGGGACAGCCUGUAGGCGCACUGUGAAGCCGUGUUUGGACCCCUAAACGUGUAAGGACCCCUCACCCUAUUUCCUAUCACGGUUUUAAAGUUCAAUAAAUGAUAAAACGGUAUUUCAUGAAUCAACGAAUGUGUGAAAUUGCUUAAGGUCGCUAAUGGAGCCCGAGUCUAGUGUGUUUGUCGGUUAACUGUUAUUUGGCCUGUUUUACAGUUUUAAAUGCAGCAUGAGGUUUGAUGUUUUCAUUUUAUAGUUUCGUGUGCAUAUUUUUACUGUUUUAUUGAUUAUGGAUUGGAUGACUGGGAUAUUGAUACUCUAUGUUGUCUGUUUGGCAUAAAUUAUCGUUUUGCUUGUUUGUAUGUGGAUUGAUAAUGCUGACUGAGGGAAAGAGAGAAUGAAAGAUUAUGUAAAUGAGUAAUUGUAUAAUGUGGUCAGCCUGACUAGAUAUCCUGGGAUAUGGUGGACGGACCGGGUCCGUAGGGAACCCUACCGGGAUUGUGGUCUCCCAUACCGGACGGAGUAUGGAGAUCUUAUGUGUUUUGGCGCCCAUACCGGACGGGGUAUGGGGACGGCCCGUUUCACCCUCAUACUGGACGGGGUAAUGAGGUUUAUAGUUUUGGCGCCCAUACCGGACGGGGUAUGGGGACGGCCCUGGAAUAUGAUUUCAAGUGCUAAGGGUUAACGGGUAGCAGGACCCCUAUGGAUCCCCAUGGAUACUAGUGGGCUGGUAAAAGAAGAAAAAUAUGUUGUGUAACGAUUGUAUUACGAAAGGCUUGAUAAGUAUUACGUUAUACAGUUUAUAUAUGAUUUCAUGAUGAUGAUGAUGUUAUUAUUUUCGUAUAUUGAUUUAUGAAUUUCACCGAGGUAAGUGAAUGGUAAAGGUUUUAUUAUUGAUAAAAGGUUUGUUGUAAAUUAUGCUCCAUUGGUCUUUUUGUGUUUUCUACCCAUCUUUACCUCCGUGACGGUGAGAUAUCGUGAUGUCUUUACUGGACUAGUGUAGUUCAUUCCUUAUUUAAUUAUUUCAGAUCAGGAAGACCUUGUUCCCGAGCCAGUUCCGCAGGAGGACGACGAAGGGGACGCCUAAAGACUCCAUAGCCAUAUUUGUAGCUUUUACUUUCAAGUUUCUCCUUUAGGUAGUUUGAUCUUUUAUAUUGUGAGCACGUUUUUGGUUUUAGUGUAAGGGAUGUUAAUCGAAUUUUUGACUUCGCUUCCGCAUUUGAUAUUUUUAAUAUACAUUCCAUUAUGAAUUUCCGGGACUGUUACAGCAGCGGCGCCGCUGAGCUUCGGCGGCAUUUUUUGGCCAAUUUGCUGGUGCUUUCACUCUGAUUUGGCCAUAGGUGGGUUUAGAAUCAAAUUCUGAGCAAAUGGUAGAAUUUU